This 169-nucleotide unclassified non-coding RNA is filed under the name uncultured Cortinarius. RNAcentral's name for it is "sequence contains ITS1". Lineage: Eukaryota; Fungi; Basidiomycota; Agaricomycetes; Agaricales; Cortinariaceae. The record is from RNAcentral.
UUGAAUUAUGUUUUCUAGAUGGGUUGUUGCUGGUUCUCUAGGGAACAUGUGCACGCCUUGUCAUCUUUAUAUCUCCACCUGUGCACUUUUUGUAGGCCUUUCCAGGUCUAUGUUGCUUCAUUUUACCCCAACUGUAUGUCAUUAGAAUGUUGUGCCUAUAUAACAUAUA